RNAcentral lists this ribosomal RNA (33 nucleotides) under Trametes hirsuta. RNAcentral describes it as "partial 28S ribosomal RNA". The record is from RNAcentral. RNAcentral also lists the same sequence under 20 other names. Lineage: Eukaryota; Fungi; Basidiomycota; Agaricomycetes; Polyporales; Polyporaceae.
GGUAGGACUACCCGCUGAACUUAAGCAUAUCAA